RNAcentral lists this ribosomal RNA (481 nucleotides) under uncultured bacterium. Its description in RNAcentral is "partial 16S ribosomal RNA". It matches the Rfam family "Bacterial small subunit ribosomal RNA", at positions 28 to 507 of the family's 1533-position model. The record is from RNAcentral.
GAUGAACGCUGGCGGUGUGCUUAACACAUGCAAGUCGAACGAAGCAUUUGCGACAGAUUUUUUCGGAAUGAAGUUGCUUAUGACUGAGUGGCGGACGGGUGAGUAACGCGUGGGUAACCUGCCUUGUACUGGGGGAUAGCAGCUGGAAACGGCUGGUAAUACCGCAUAAGCGCACAAUGUUGCAUGACAUGGUGUGAAAAACUCCGGUGGUAUAAGAUGGACCCGCGUCUGAUUAGCUAGUUGGUGAGAUAACAGCCCACCAAGGCGACGAUCAGUAGCCGACCUGAGAGGGUGACCGGCCACAUUGGGACUGAGACACGGCCCAGACUCCUACGGGAGGCAGCAGUGGGGAAUAUUGCACAAUGGAGGAAACUCUGAUGCAGCGACGCCGCGUGAGUGAAGAAGUAAUUCGUUAUGUAAAGCUCUAUCAGCAGGGAAGAUAGUGACGGUACCUGACUAAGAAGCUCCGGCUAAAUACGUG